GUACACGCUGUGACUAGCAUAUCAAUAAGCGGAGGAAAAGAAACUAACAAGGAUUCCCUUAGUAACGGCGAGUGAAGCGGGAAGAGCUCAAAUUUGAAAUCUUCAAGGUUUUACCUUGACGAAUUGUAGUUUAAAGAAGUGUUUUCUGUUGAAGUUUUGGUAAAAGUUCUUUGGAAUAGGACAUCAUAGAGGGUGAGAAUCCCGUAUUUGACCAUUAUUUUCAGCUGUGUGAUACACUUUCAAAGAGUCGGGUUGUUUGGGAAUGCAGCCCAAAACGGGAGGUAAAUUUCUUCUAAGGCUAAAUAUUGGCGAGAGACCGAUAGCGAACAAGUACCGUGAGGGAAAGAUGAAAAGAACUUCGAAAAGAGAGUUAAAUAGUACGUGGAAUUGUCAAAAGGGAAGCGUUUAACACCAGUGUUGUUUUCUGAAAAUCAACCUCUGUUAGCUUUAUGCAUGUUUGUUUAGACCUAAUCAGCUAUCUUGCAUGUUCUAUUGUUUGCAGUGGUGCACUUUUCAGUUUACAGGUCAACAUCAGUUUUUUUCUACCGUAAAAAAGUUAAAGAAAGGUAGCUCAUGGCUCCGGUCGUGAGUGUUAUAGUCUUUUUUCCUAUGCGGUAGGAGAGACUGAGGUCUGCAGUGUAGGCUAUUUGGCUAGAUACUCAGGUGCUAUGUGAUACCAUUUCAUAAACAACUUGUUGAUUAUGUUUUGUCUAUUGCAUACUCGCUUGUACUAUCAUACCUACGCUUAGGAUGUUGAACUACUGAGACAUAGA
Molecule: ribosomal RNA, 773 nt
Filed under: uncultured Neocallimastigales
Lineage: Eukaryota; Fungi; Neocallimastigomycota; Neocallimastigomycetes; Neocallimastigales
Description: partial large subunit ribosomal RNA
Rfam family: Eukaryotic large subunit ribosomal RNA
Source: RNAcentral